CAGGGUUUGAUCCUGGCUCAGAUUGAACGCUGGCGGCAGGCCUAACACAUGCAAGUCGAGCGGAUGAAGGGAGCUUGCUCCUGAAUUCAGCGGCGGACGGGUGAGUAAUGCCUAGGAAUCUGCCUGGUAGUGGGGGAUAACGUCCGGAAACGGGCGCUAAUACCGCAUACGUCCUGAGGGAGAAAGUGGGGGAUCUUCGGACCUCACGCUAUCAGAUGAGCCUAGGUCGGAUUAGCUAGUUGGUGGGGUAAAGGCCUACCAAGGCGACGAUCCGUAACUGGUCUGAGAGGAUGAUCAGUCACACUGGAACUGAGACACGGUCCAGACUCCUACGGGAGGCAGCAGUGGGGAAUAUUGGACAAUGGGCGAAAGCCUGAUCCAGCCAUGCCGCGUGUGUGAAGAAGGUCUUCGGAUUGUAAAGCACUUUAAGUUGGGAGGAAGGGCAGUAAGUUAAUACCUUGCUGUUUUGACGUUACCAACAGAAUAAGCACCGGCUAACUUCGUGCCAGCAGCCGCGGUAAUACGAAGGGUGCAAGCGUUAA
RNAcentral lists this ribosomal RNA (542 nucleotides) under uncultured bacterium. RNAcentral's name for it is "bacterial SSU rRNA". It matches the Rfam family "Bacterial small subunit ribosomal RNA", at positions 8 to 544 of the family's 1533-position model. The record is from RNAcentral.